Molecule: long non-coding RNA, 889 nt
Organism: Toxorhynchites rutilus septentrionalis
Lineage: Eukaryota; Metazoa; Arthropoda; Insecta; Diptera; Culicidae
Exons: 3
Source: RefSeq, a predicted model, not a curated record
ACUUGACAGAUAGAAAGGGACACAGAAGGUCAGAUAAAAAACCGAGAAGCGCACUGAGAAGCUGCAAUAUUGGAGCAGAGUGGAAAACGGAUAAAUCUACAGAGAUAAGCUCAACAGGGCGGUAUCUCGGUCAUAACUUCACGAAUGUUGUCUUUCAAAUGUUCUAGAGUUUGCGGAGAGUUGUGAUAUAAAAGCGAACGCGACAGACACACAAAAGACUCGAAGACCGAAGGGCUCAGAGAGGAAAAAGUAAAACGAACUGUACUUGUUGAAAUCACACUUGGAAUGAAUUUUAUUAUUAACAACAGUUCGCGUCAUCGAAGGUCGUUCGAAGGAAGUUUCGCGUGAGUGAAAAUGUAAAUUGUUGAAAAAUAGUUUUUCUUAGCUGUUUCGAUGCUCCGAACCAAAAUUUAUUGUCAUUUAGUAGUGGAAAAAAGCCGUUGAAGUACACCCUCUGUCAAUCUACCUGCGAGAGAGAACGUGUGAAAUAUGGACGUCAAAAGCUGCGCAAAUUGCCCGGAGAACAUGCAAGUCGGACGAAAUUUGCUUGAGGCUGAUUCCGAACAAUCUGCAAAAUUCAAAAGCCGUAUUGUUUGUGUCGUCCCCGGAUGUAAGCAGAGAUAUCGCCCCGGAAUUUCUUUUCAUGCCUUCCCUCCGAAAACGGACAAAUCGCGGUAUCUAGACUGGAUCCAACGACUACGGCUAAAGAUAGAACCUACAAAAACCUCCCGUAUUUGUAGCCUCCAUUUCACCGUGUCGAACUUCUACUCUCCAAGUAUUCACAUUCACAUUUUCGCACUUUUGAAAGAGUGAAACAGUCCAACUUGGUGCAAAAUGUGCGAUAAUAAAGAAAUAAAAUAAAACAUACAUAAGCAAAUGAUACAAAACA